Molecule: long non-coding RNA, 356 nt
Filed under: Heterocephalus glaber (naked mole-rat)
Lineage: Eukaryota; Metazoa; Chordata; Mammalia; Rodentia; Bathyergidae
Description: lncRNA (ENSHGLG00100033556.1)
Source: RNAcentral
UGACAGUGUACCACUGAGCUACACCCCCAGCACUUCACUGGAGUUUUUAUGAAAAACAUCUGUGGUUACCACUGAUUCAAUAAUUCUCCUUUCUAAGCCAUGAAUCAACACAGGAAACGACAUGAAGUCUUCCAACGACAUUCCUCUCAGCUUUGCUACAGCACAGCUGUCCGGGUUGGGUGUGCACGCAGAUGCCAGCACCUCUCACACGGUGGACGUGGUGAACCCGUGUCCAGCCCUAUCAACGAGGCCAGGUCCAAGGUGUUUGCCCACAGUCCUGGUGAUGUCCCAGGCCUGACCCCCAUGGAGCGGUGGGGCGGUGCGGCAGCCUCCCGCCACCAGGAGUCGCCCUUGCC